CAUUCGACCCGUCUUGAAA
Molecule: small nuclear RNA, 19 nt
Filed under: Arabidopsis thaliana (thale cress)
Lineage: Eukaryota; Viridiplantae; Streptophyta; Magnoliopsida; Brassicales; Brassicaceae
Description: snRNA_13488
Source: RNAcentral